RNAcentral lists this ribosomal RNA (490 nucleotides) under uncultured Thermomonas sp. RNAcentral describes it as "bacterial SSU rRNA". It matches the Rfam family "Bacterial small subunit ribosomal RNA", at positions 521 to 1010 of the family's 1533-position model. The record is from RNAcentral. Lineage: Bacteria; Pseudomonadati; Pseudomonadota; Gammaproteobacteria; Lysobacterales; Lysobacteraceae.
UAAUACGAAGGGUGCAAGCGUUACUCGGAAUUACUGGGCGUAAAGCGUGCGUAGGUGGUGAUUUAAGUCAGAUGUGAAAGCCCUGGGCUCAACCUGGGAACUGCAUCUGAUACUGGGUCACUAGAGUGCGGUAGAGGAUAGCGGAAUUCCUGGUGUAGCAGUGAAAUGCGUAGAGAUCAGGAGGAACAUCCGUGGCGAAGGCGGCUAUCUGGGCCAGCACUGACACUGAGGCACGAAAGCGUGGGAGCAAACAGGAUUAGAUACCCUGGUAGUCCACGCCCUAAACGAUGCGAACUGGAUGUUGGGUGCAAUUUGGCACUCAGUAUCGAAGCUAACGCGUUAAGUUCGCCGCCUGGGGAGUACGGUCGCAAGACUGAAACUCAAAGGAAUUGACGGGGGCCCGCACAAGCGGUGGAGUAUGUGGUUUAAUUCGAUGCAACGCGCAGAACCUUACCUGGCCUUGACAUGCACGGAACUUUCCAGAGAUGGA